Long non-coding RNA from Elgaria multicarinata webbii, 411 nucleotides. RefSeq lists it as uncharacterized. The transcript is spliced from 3 exons. The record is from RefSeq and is a predicted model, not a curated record. NCBI's taxonomy places the organism in Eukaryota, Metazoa, Chordata, Lepidosauria, Squamata, Anguidae.
AGUGGAAGCGGUUUCUGCACAGCCUGGGCAGGGUCUGGUGACCUUUGAGGAGGUGGCCGUGCAUUUCUCAGAGGAGGAGUGGGCUCUGCUGGAUCCAGGCCAAAGGACUCUGCACAAUGAAGUCAUGGAAGAGAAUCGUGGGAUCCUGGCCUCUCUGGGUGAUCACAGGGGGAUCAAGAAAAAUGGCCCACACCAGAGAAGGAAAACUGAAGAGAAGAGGGAAAACGAAUCCAUUUCUUUUGAAGGAUCAGACAUCUGUGAAACUCCAAUACUAGAAGCACCAAGUAAAAAGAACAUUUGUAAAAGGAAGAAACAGAGUAAAACUCAGAAGAUUAAUUCUAACAAAUAUCAAAGGUUUCAAUGCUUAGUGUGUGAAAAGCUAUUCACUUUCUACUCACAACUUAACUUCCA